Molecule: long non-coding RNA, 124 nt
Organism: Thalassophryne amazonica
Lineage: Eukaryota; Metazoa; Chordata; Actinopteri; Batrachoidiformes; Batrachoididae
Exons: 3
Source: RefSeq, a predicted model, not a curated record
GGGCCAUACCAGAGGGGAGUUUCCAUGUUUAUUUAUGUUGUCAUGGGCUGGUGAAACAGUUCCACUGUUAUUCCUCCUACAGAGUUAGAUGGUGAACAUGUCAUAAUAUGAACUCCUCAUUACA